RNAcentral lists this ribosomal RNA (982 nucleotides) under human gut metagenome. RNAcentral's name for it is "bacterial LSU rRNA". It matches the Rfam family "Bacterial large subunit ribosomal RNA", at positions 1945 to 2925 of the family's 2925-position model. The record is from RNAcentral.
ACGGUCCUAAGGUAGCGAAAUUCCUUGUCGGGUAAGUUCCGACCCGCACGAAAGGCGUAAUGAUUUGAGCGCUGUCUCGACAAUGCAUCCGGUGAAAUUGAAGUACCAGUGAAGAUGCUGGUUACCUGCGCCAGGACGGAAAGACCCCAUGGAGCUUUACUCCAGUUUGGUACUGGGAUCCGGUACUGCAUGUACAGGAUAGGUGGGAGGCUGAGAAUCGGUAACGCCAGUUGCCGAGGAGCCGCUGUUGGGAUACCACCCUUGCAGUAUUGGGUUUCUAACCAGCCGCCGUGACCCGGCGGUGGGACAAUGCCAGACGGGGAGUUUGACUGGGGCGGUCGCCUCCGAAAGGGUAUCGGAGGCGCCCAAAGGUUCCCUCAGAAUGGACGGAAACCAUUCGAAGAGUGCAAAGGCAGAAGGGAGCUUGACUGCGACACCGACGGGUGGAGCAGGUACGAAAGUAGGGCUUAGUGAUCCGGUGGUAUUAAGUGGGAAUGCCAUCGCUCAACGGAUAAAAGCUACCCUGGGGAUAACAGGCUUAUCACUCCCAAGAGUUCACAUCGACGGAGUGGUUUGGCACCUCGAUGUCGGCUCAUCGCAUCCUGGGGCUGUAGUAGGUCCCAAGGGUUGGGCUGUUCGCCCAUUAAAGCGGUACGCGAGCUGGGUUCAGAACGUCGUGAGACAGUUCGGUCCCUAUCCGGCGUGGGCGUAGGAUAUCUGAGAGGAGCUGUCCUUAGUACGAGAGGACCGGGAUGGACGGGCCGCUGGUGCACCGGUUAGACUGCCAAGUCUAUAGCCGGGUAGCCAAGCCCGGAAGGGAUAAACGCUGAAGGCAUCUAAGCGUGAAGCCCCCCUCAAGAUGAGAUAUCCCAUAACGUCAAGUUAGUAAGACCCCUUGAAGACGACGAGGUAGAUAGGGCAGAGGUGGAAGUGUGGCAACACAUGGAGCUGACUGUUACUAAUCGGGUGAGGGCUUGACCAA